RNAcentral lists this ribosomal RNA (253 nucleotides) under uncultured bacterium. RNAcentral's name for it is "partial 16S ribosomal RNA". It matches the Rfam family "Bacterial small subunit ribosomal RNA", at positions 524 to 776 of the family's 1533-position model. The record is from RNAcentral.
UACAGAGGGGGCAAGCGUUGUUCGGAAUUACUGGGCGUAAAGGGCGCGUAGGCGGCCUCUUAAGUCGAACGUGAAAUCCCCAGGCUCAACCUGGGAACUGCGUCCGAUACUGGGAGGCUUGAAUUCGGGAGAGGGAUGUGGAAUUCCAGGUGUAGCGGUGAAAUGCGUAGAUAUCUGGAGGAACACCGGUGGCGAAGGCGGCAUCCUGGACCGACAUUGACGCUGAGGCGCGAAAGCUAGGGGAGCAAACGGG